AUACGGAGGAUCCGAGCGUUAUCCGGAUUUAUUGGGUUUAAAGGGUGCGCAGGCGGGGGAUUAAGUCGGCGGUGAAAUUUUUUAGCUUAACUGUAAAAGUGCCUUCGAAACUUGGUUUCUUGAGUGUGGUUGAGGGAGGAGGAAUUUUUGGUGUAGCGGUGAAAUGCAUAGAUAUCACGAGGAACUCCGAUUGCGCAGGCAGCUUACUAAACUACUACUGACGCUCAGGCACGAAGGCGUGGGGAUCAAACAGGAUUAGAUACCCUGGUAGUCCACGCAGUAAACGAUGAUUACUAGCUGUUUGCGAUACAAUGUAAGCGGCUGAGCGAAAGCGUUAAGUAAUCCACCUGGGGAGUACGGUCGCAAGAAUGAAACUCAAAUGAAUUGACGGGG
RNAcentral lists this ribosomal RNA (393 nucleotides) under uncultured bacterium. RNAcentral's name for it is "partial 16S ribosomal RNA". It matches the Rfam family "Bacterial small subunit ribosomal RNA", at positions 523 to 918 of the family's 1533-position model. The record is from RNAcentral.